This 468-nucleotide ribosomal RNA is filed under the name uncultured bacterium. RNAcentral's name for it is "partial 16S ribosomal RNA". It matches the Rfam family "Bacterial small subunit ribosomal RNA", at positions 28 to 507 of the family's 1533-position model. The record is from RNAcentral.
GACGAACGCUGGCGGCGUGCUUAACACAUGCAAGUCGAACGGAAAGGCCAUGCUUUUGUGGGGUGCUCGAGUGGCGAACGGGUGGGUAACCCGUGAGUAACCUGCCCUUGACUUUGGGUUAACUUCUGGUAACUGGGGCUAAUACCGGAUACGAGCUCCUGCUGCAUGGUGGGGGUUGGAAAGUUUCGGCGGUUGUGUAUGGACUCGCGGCUAAUUAGCUGGUUGGUGGGGUAGUCGCUUACCAAGGCAUUGACGGGUAGCCUGCCUGAGCGGGUGACCGGCCACAUUGCGCCUGAGAUACGGCCCAGACUCCUACGGGGGGCAUCAGUGGGGAAUAUUGCACAAUGGGCGGAAGCCUGAUGCAGCAACGCCGCGUGCGGGAUGACGGCCUUCGGUUUGUAAACCGCAUUCGCCUGUGACGAAGCGUGAGUGACGGUAAUGGGUAAAGAAGCACCGGCUAACUACGUG